This 410-nucleotide ribosomal RNA is filed under the name Loktanella sp. Asnod1E11. RNAcentral's name for it is "bacterial SSU rRNA". It matches the Rfam family "Bacterial small subunit ribosomal RNA", at positions 389 to 815 of the family's 1533-position model. Lineage: Bacteria; Pseudomonadati; Pseudomonadota; Alphaproteobacteria; Rhodobacterales; Roseobacteraceae. The record is from RNAcentral.
UAGCGNUGCCGCGUGAGUGACGAAGGNCUUAGGAUCGUAAAGCUCUUUCGCCAGGGAUGAUAAUGACAGUACCUGGUAAAGAAACCCCGGCUAACUCCGUGCCAGCAGCCGCGGUAAUACGGAGGGGGUUAGCGUUGUUCGGAAUUACUGGGCGUAAAGCGCACGUAGGCGGAUCAAUAAGUUAGAGGUGAAAUCCCAGGGCUCAACCCUGGAACUGCCUUUAAUACUGUUGGUCUAGAGUUCGAGAGAGGUAAGUGGAAUUCCGAGUGUAGAGGUGAAAUUCGUAGAUAUUCGGAGGAACACCAGUGGCGAAGGCGGCUUACUGGCUCGAUACUGACGCUGAGGUGCGAAAGUGUGGGGAGCAAACAGGAUUAGAUACCCUGGUAGUCCACUGCUGCCUCCCGUAGGAA